UGUACCUCAGCAAACACCAACACCACUACCACCAGCACCACCAUCACGCAUUCACAAAAAGGAAGAAGUGAGAAAAUUUUUUUUUCUUCGCCUGUUCAGUAGCACGCACACACACGAAACGAACAAGCUCCUUUACAUCAGCCUCUUUAAACAGGAAAGGAAGACGAGGAAAAACAAAGGAAAUUGCAUAUAUCUACACACACACACACACCAAUAUAAUAUAUACAUACAUAUAUAUAUAUAUAUUAUAUUAUAUAUUAUAUCCGCUUUAGCAAACCAAGUAACCAAAGGUCCAAGACAAGAAAGACGGCAAGUCUCUUUGCUGUCCGCUCUCAAGUUUUGUACUCCCUUGUCUUUUUUUUAUUUCUUUAUUAUUUAUUUAUUUAUUUUUAUAUUGUGUCUCACCUUUAUUUCUUCUCUGAUUUCAUUUUUUUUUUCUCCUUUCCCAUCUUCCCAGAGCCUUCUUCUCGCUGUCUCUGUCUCUGUCUGUAUGUGUGUUUUGUGAGCCUCCGUCUACCCCCGCCCUUCACGUCAUUUUGGGGGUCACCUACACAACAACAACCCCUCCCCCGUACCACUUUUUUUUUAUGUUAUCUUUUUAUUUUUUGUCGCUCCUCUCCCCCCGCCCCCUUCCUCAAAGAGGCUGACACACCCACACGCAUACACACACCGAGUGCCGCGAGUAGGAAGGUAUCGAGUCGAGGCUAGCGAACUGCGACAAGGAAAUCAGAGGGAAAAAAGACUUAGGGAAGAAAGUAAAGGGUACGCUAUAGAAGAAUAAGCGCUGCCCGUGUAGCACAUACUGCAGCCCUUUCCAUCCAGGGACACGAAUAGGAGAGAGCGAACACGCACCAAAAAAGGAGUAGCUGGACAAGAACGCGGCUCCACCUUUUCGUUCUUUUUUUUUCCCUUGUUUCUGUGUGUUUGGUCUCUUUCUCUGUUUCGCUCGCCCGGUUCUUAGUGUUAUCCACCACCACUGUGAUGCAGUUUGCGGAAGCAAACACCCAGCAAAGUUCUACCCCUCCUUCUCCCCCUCCCCGCCAUUGUGUUCUCCAGCUUCUCUCUCUCUCUGGUUUCUUUAACAGACGAGGGCCUUCUCCCCCUUCCUUUUUAUUUGUUGUUGGUCGUGCUUCGCUCUUGCCCGCUUUCGUUCCGCUCCUCGCAUAUCUGAGUAAGCCCCCCUCCCUCUCGUCUACCUCCCCCCUCCCCCCACUCCCCCGAUCCUUACUGGAUACCUUCGCUUCACUGCUGCUGCCGUUGCUGCCCUCGCAGGUAUUUCCCACCCACGUCAUUCCUUUUUUUUUCAUCUUUAUUCUUGAAUCUUGUCUUGCCAAGAGCGUCACAGAGAAGAAAAAAAGACAAAACAAAAGGAGGAACGCACCACACUUUAUUCCUUUUUCUUUUUCCGUAUUCGUGCCACUCACUUACCUUUUCCUCGCAAGUCUUUAGCAGCAGUUCUCCCUCUCGGCCUCUUCGCCGUCUUUCAGCAUCCCUCAGCAUCUCUCCUUGCUUUCCAUAGCCUCCAUCUAAAGAUUGACCACGUCUGUCUCUGUCUGUGUGUCUCUCUUUCUGCCUCUCUUUUCAAUUCUUUUCGCUCCCUCCUCCCUCCUCCCUCCUCCCCCUCCCCCUCCCCCUCCCCCGCUCUCCGUCGACGAUUGUUGUGCCUCUGCCAUUAUUAGCAAUAAACUUUCGCGCGCCAUCCUGAAUCGGUACACUUUGUUCAAGCAGCUGCUUUUUGUGUGUGUGUGUGUGUGUGCGCGUGCGCCCGGCUUUACACAUCAGCACGUCUUGACCGCUUCUGCUACGUUUUGCUUUUCUUUUCUUUUUUUUUUUGGACUAUUUCUUUCUUGUGUGCUUGCGCGUCUCCUUCUGUGUUCUCCUUUCCGCUAUCUCUAACGCCGUCGUUGGGUGCGCCCUCUUUUUGCUUUUUUUUCAGCUUUCUCGUGUGUGCGCGCUGUGCGUGCGAGCGUGUGCGAGGGUGUUUGUGUGUGUGCAUGUGCGACGUCAACGUUGUUUUCUCUUGCUCUUGGUCUUCGCGUAUGUGCUACACACACACCCACAUACACGCACCUCUUUAUCUGUCUGGUACUGACCCCUUCUAUUCCUACCCCCUUCUCUUUCCGCUUUUCUCCAGACAAUAAGCACCAUCAUCACACGCCCCCACCCCACCCCUUUCCUUGGCGGAGUGUCUCUCUAUUCCUCACUGUCUUCUUUUGUUUUGGUUUAUUAUCUCUUUGUUCCCAGUCGAUUUUUUCUUUCUGUUGUUGGAUUUCCCCCGUCUCUUUCCUCCUUUCUUCCUCGGUGUUACUCCCUCCCCUCUUCUUCUGUUUCUGUGUGCCACCGCAUCUCUUUUCUCUCUCUCUCUGUGUGUGCUCGCACUCUUUCGGUUUGUAUUUUGGCUUCUUUCUUUUUCUCUUCUUUGCGGCUACACUUCUCUUGCCCCUCUUCCUCCUUUCCUUUCUUUGCCUUCUUCCUUGAAUUUGUCUGUCUCUCUCUCUCUCUGCCUGUCUGUGUGAGUCUGUGUGCCUCUUUCUCUCCUCCGCUUUCGUGGCUCUCUUGUUUUGUUUUUCCCUUGCCCUUUUCGCCCUCCUCGUCUUCCUUCUGCCAUCCACGUCCUUGCCGCUUUCUUUUCGUUCCGGUCUCUUCCUACCGUGUCCUUCACACCCUCCCUCCUUCCCCUCACGCACUGUCCUCCUCUCGUGACUUUUGUCCUUUGCCGGGGGCCGCCUUCCCACUUUUUUUUCGUCUGCUUGUUCUUAUCGUUGGGGUGCUUGUGCCCGGAGGUGUAUGCGCGCGUGUGUGCAUGUAUUAGCUUCCCUCAUUCUCUGUGAGCUCAAGCGCAUUUUCUGUUUGUAUUUUCGCCCCUGUUCCCUUUACGUGCAUGUUGUAAUCUUUACUUCUCUUCUGCGGUUGCCCGGCCCCAUUCGACCACCGACUUUCCGUUUCGUUUUUUCGUGCGCGCGUGCGUGUGCGUGUGCGUGUGUGUGAGAUUUCUUCUUUUUUUUUGCUCGGAUCUCUUCACCUGCCGAUCUUCCGGCCUCCUCUCUCUUGCCCCAUCGUUUUUUCGAUCCAGGCCAUCCCCGCUUCGCUCUCUCGCGCUUGUCUCUGUCGCCUUGACCUGUCUCAUCCACCUCUCUUGCUGUCUUAUCCUGGACUGUGACCCCUCUCCCCCCUCCACACAGCCCCUCUACCUCUUCCUCAGCUCUUCCACGGUUCAGAAUGGCAGACAGCUCUAGCGAUGGUCCUACCUCGCCCAGCUGGCCGCUGUACAUGAUGAUGCCCGGUCAAGCCGCUAGCGCUGAUUCCUUCUGCAAAUACCACAGCGGAGGCGCGGCGUCAUCCGCUGUGACCCCGUCCGUUGGCGCUGCGGGAGCGGCAGGCAGCAUGAGCACCUCUCUGAACGGCGCCCCCGGCCAGCCGGCGAGCGUUGUGCCCCUCGGCGGGGCCGGCUCCUUCUAUUUCUCGUUCUGCGGCACGGACGGGCUCAUGAUUGGCGACACAGCUGACGCGAACCUGAGCACCACCUACGCCAACACCGUUACGACCCCAACCUUCAGCGCAAGCAAUACCGCCGCCAAUAGCCGAGCCGCAAGCCUUACCACCCCUGGUACCACUGUGGCGAGCGCAAUGCAGCUGGCGGCGGCAAAUCUCGAGUACUUCUACGGCAUCCCCACCCCAAGCGCGCCGAAUCGCGCCGACUACGCGGCAUCCAGCGCCGCGAGCAACUGCAGCAGCACCAGCGAUCACCACGUGAGCGAACGAGGCACGGCGCCGCCGCCGCCGCCGCCGAUGAGCACUGGCGCGCAACAGCUCGCGAACAACGCGCCACCGCAGGGCGGGGUGCAGAAGGAUGUGCUGGCGCUCAUGGCCGCCGAGCAACAGCAGCAGAAGUUUGUGCUGCAGCAACGCAACGUCUAUAUGUCGGGAUUACCAGUCAACUUCCGCCCCUCUGCCUUCCGCGCGAUGUGCGGGGUCUUUGGCCGCAUCGAGUCCUCGAAGCUCUGCAUGGAGGCGGAUGACUCCAGCCGUUGUCGCGGAUUCGGCUUUGUGCUGUUCUACGACGUGGAAAGCGCCAACUCGUGCAUCUCAUCUCUGAACGGAAAGAUGAUGCAGGGCCGCACGCUGCAGGUGCGCCGCGCCGACCUCUCCGCCGCGCCGCAGCCGCUGCACCCGGUGACGCAGCGCAACCGCACUGGCUCUGGUCUGGUGACUCCGCCGACGCUGGGGCAGCAGACGGCACCAACCGAGAUGCCGUCCGCAUCAGCGGCCGCCGCCUUCCCUCUCUACAGUCCGCACCCGCCCACUGUUGGCCAGUCCAGCGUGAAACCGGUUGUCAUGUCUGCGGUGCCCUUCACCUUCGCGACUUCGACUGGCGUCGCACCACCGCCCGGAUCGAUCGUUCACAAUUCGGCGCCGACCAAGGCCUCUUUCCCGCUUGGCACCAACGGAUCGGCUUCCAGCUCACUUGGCGCCACCUCGACACCGACAGUGGUUUACGCCUCAAACAGCACGAUGCUCUCCACCAUGCGAGGGGGUGUACCUGUAAUGCAACUCUUCACAGCGGUCCCACCGGGUAGCGCUCCCGCGAUGGGCCCCCAGCCGCCCUCGGUGAUGUCGCACACGUCACUCAGCAGCCGCGAUGGCGCUACCCCGCACACCGAAACCCCCUCGAGUGUGGCAAGCUCCAGCGCACCGAUCGGCUUCUCCGCCUCCCAGCACCUCAUCCACCUCCAGGCGCCGACUGCGCAGCAGCCACAACAGAAUCUGCCGCAGCACUCCAUCCAGUUCAAGCCGCAGCCUCCGAUGCACCCACCCGCGCAGCCACAGCGACCGAUGAGCGUCUGCACAAACGUUGCAAUUUACCGCCCACUCGAAGCGGCCUCGAGUGCCGGCAACCUUAACCUCAACCCAAGCGCUGGUGGCAGCGCGAUGGCGAGCGCUUACAGCGCUAACGGCAACGUUCUGCAGGACUACCUCAUGGGCGCGGACCUGAACGCGUCCUCCUCCAAUGUCUUCUACUUUAUCUCCCCGCCGUAGUGCGUGCAAAACGAGCAACAAUGCACACACACACCGCUCAGCGCGUGGUAUGGCAGGCUCCAGUGGCCCCCGCUCCGUGUGUGCGUGUGUGUGUGUGGGGGGGGGGAGCCAUACAGGCCCCCGCUAUCCGCUGCCAAUGCCGAGCCACCUUCCGGUGUUGGCAGGGUUGAGUACCCACGACGUAGGGAAGUCAUAGCGAUGUAGCGCUGAUGAUGUCGGCAGUUGUGUUCCGGGUGGCGCUGCGUCGGAGCGGCCUGCAACCGCGUACACGUCUGCGCCAUCCAUAUGAUGGACAGCGUGUCAGCGUGACUCGAGCGUAUUCCACCCCCGGCCCUCUCGCUACCUACCAGUGUGUGGAGCAUGCGUGGCCCUCCCGGGGGGCGCGCGCCAGGUCGGGACCGGCACAAUGGGAGCGGCUGUGAGGCGACCUGCGGGGCGGCGGGUGGGUGGGGUGGCGUUCGGGGCAGAGACCGCGCUCAGAUAGCUGAGGCGGAAUACCUGUAGCGCGUGUGUCUAGGACUGCAUUGCACGACGCGGAUGGGGAGGGGCCUGUCACAGGCCGGGAGGGGGGCGCUCGAGCGUGGAGUUGGUCUGAUGCUCUGUGGAAGGAUGGACGCGUUGAAGCCGAAAACGAUGGGUUACGUGUGUUUCAGUAGAGGAUGAGCUUGCUUUGCAGUACAGCAGAUGAUCGUGCUGCUUUUUGAAUGCUGUGUGUUGUUGGCACGCUUCUCAUCGUCUCCCUUCUAGGCUCAUAUGCUACCCUGCAUGUGCGUAUGUAUGUGUCUCUGCCUGCUGCUGUUCUUCCUUGUGUCGGUUCUUUGCUGUUCCUCCUCGAUGGAGAUAGCGUCUGCUCCUUUCUUUCGCCUUGCUCGACGCUUCCUUUUAACGCGUGCCCUGCUCUCGUUUUCUCAUCCUCCCCCCAUCGUGAACCCUUAUCUCCUUUCUUCUUUUUACGAGGUGCUUUUCCCCUGUUCUCACUGCCGCGUUGCCAUUGUGGUCGUCGUGGCUUCUAUUUCUCCUUUCUUCCUGGUUUAGCUUGCUGAUGAUACAGUGCCUCUGCGCAGGUGCGCUACGGCCGUCUUUGAUGCGGCGGGAUGCAGAGAGAGGCGAAGAGCUUCUUGAUUGUUCCUCUCUUCGUCUUUCACGCAUGCUUUACACGCAGAAAAUGUACGCCCGUAAUACCUCCUGUUGUGCUUCAUUGUAGUGUAAACCUUUUAUUUUUUUCCCGGUUUCGCGUUUUUGUUGUCGUGGUAACGCGUGUCUUUACUGGUUAGUUUUUUUCAUGUUUGUUUUUGAAGUCUUUCUGCUGUGGUCUGCCUCCUUCUCGUUCCCCCCACGGCCAUUGCGCGCAACGCGAAUCCGCGUUGCUGCUUCUCUCGUUGCGUAUUUUCCUUUGGAUUUUUUGCUUUUUUUUCGUCCCAGCUGGAUACAUGCAGGUGCACUUUUCUUUCAGUGUUCGCCUCAGUGUUUCACCGCGUGCUGCACCCGCUCCUCCCGCUGUUUUUUUUCUGUUUUUUAGCCUUUCGUUGUUGAUGUGCCCCUCUCUUUCUCCCUGUGUGUGUGUUUAAAAUGUUUUGUGGCUUCUGUGUUUUGGCCGUGUGUGCCUUUAUAGCCCUAUCGUCGAUUCACUGGUUUACUGAUGUCGUUGUGGGCGACUUUACUCCACAUUUUUUUUCUUCACGUUCUUGGCAGGCGUAGGUUUUAUACGUAUGUAUAUGUAUAUCUGUUUGCGCGCACACCCUUACCCCCUCGGUUUCCGGCUCACUUAUCGGAGUGUAUCAAUAUCAAAUCUAUGUAUAUCUAUCUAUAUACGUGUAUGUGUGUAUGUGUAUGUGUAUGCGUAUGUGCCUCUUGCUUCCUUCUUAUUUGUGCCAGCCACGCACCGCAUCUCUCUGCCCGCCCGCCUGCUUGUCGCCGUAUCUCUCUUUUUUUAUUAUCUGCGUUUUUUGCUUGUAUUUCUUUUUCUUCAUUUUUAUGUUGUCUCCGUUAGCCGUAGUGCAACCAGAGUUUGGAGGGCUGUAGUUGUAUGCGUAUGUCUGCUGGUGUGUGCUUGUGUGUGUGCGUGUGUUUUAUUAUAUUUUUUCCGUUUCCCCUGAGGGCGAAUGAAACGCUACUAAUAACAACAACACCCUUCCCCCUCCUCCUCCCCUCCCCCAACAACACAAAAAAAACAGUGCACAUGGCAUUGCGUUCAACUCUCUAUUUUGAAUGUAAGUGUGUGGUGUGCUCUGUCUCUUCGCGGAUCGUAGUUCUCUCUCCAUGGCCAGGCGCCUGUGUGGAGUUUCGCGUUCCGCUCAUGUCUUUCUUUUUUUUUUCUUCGGGUUUCGGUCUGGAUAAAAAAACGAAAGGCACUUAGCCGUGGAGGUGAAUGAGUGCUCUGAUGUGGCGUUGACAACCUCAACGCGCCGGACAGCAGACCCCCCCCCCCUCCCCCACACACACACACACACCCAAUCCCUUCCGGCUCUUUCAGGACAACAAGAACAGAAAAAAACAAGAAUCGCUCAAUCAUGCUAAAGAUGGGCGUUCUCUCUCACUGUGGAUGCGCGCACGGGCCCACUUUGUGUACGCCUUUUUGUGCAUCCUCGUCCCUUUUUCUCUUGGUUCUUUAGCGACUAAUCCUAAACCCAUCAUGGUGUGCGCGUGUGUGUGCUUGUCAGCGCAUGUGUGCGCAUCGUCGGGUGUGUGUGUGUGUGUGUGUACUGCCCGAGCAAUACUAAAAGAACGCGCAGGUACAGUGCACCUUUACGACGUGGUGGCACUCCUCACUGGCCCUCCUCUCAGCUCUCCCCCCAACCCUGCGAGGUGGGGGAUCCGGUCAGCGAGGCGACAGCAGCCGGUAUGGCAAACACAAACGGCAGCAGCAUAAAAUGCACACACUCAGUAUGUGUAGGCAUUUUAUUUUUGAUUGUUCUUGAAAAUUUAGCGGUGCAGCUGGUGUUUUUGACGCUGCUGCUUUUCGCAUUUUUCUUUCUAUUCGUUGGGAUUCUCGUGUUGUAGGUCUGUCCUCUCUCUUUCCACUUACCAUUUUUAUUUUUACUCUCCUCCCCUUUUAUGAAGGUCCUUCUCCGCAAACGAAUACGUUACAAAACUCAUCAAAAAAAAUCGAACACACGGGAUCGCGAGAGCGACAGAUAGAGAACACACACGCGCACACACGUGCGUAUGUGCGUGCGAAAAGAAGGCCUUUGCAGAGUACAGGUGGUGGGGAGAUGAAAGCGAAACCAAAACAAACAGCAAGAAGGAAGGAGAGGAAGGGAAGGAAAAACAAACACGUGACACGAUAAAUCAGGUGGACAGAGGCCGCUUUUAUGCUGUUGGGUUGGGUUGUGCGUUUGGUUGUUUUAUGCUUUACCUUUGUUUUUUUUUUCCUUCGCUUGAUUUGGCUGGUGUCUUUUUUUUUCCUCUUUCAAGGCGCGCCUCAAUCCACAUGGACGCUCAACACGCUCACGCACACCACACGAAAAAAAAAAAGACAAAGAACAUGCGAACAACGCGUCUACUUCCGUAAUGUUCUGACGUGCAGACCAACAUCAAACACGAAUCCAAGAAAACGAAAAAGGAGAAGAUCGUGGAAAGGAAGGCAAUAAUAAUAAUAAAGGAAAAAAAGAACAAAACAACAAAACAAAGGAAACACAUACGCACACGUACAGACGCACAGCAGUAUCGGUACUUCUCUUAUUCUUCCCCCCAUCUAUUAGCGUAAUACGGACAACCAUAACGAAGAAACAAAAAAGUCCUCAAUCCGCUUCACGUAGAGCACUUUCCUCCUCUUCUCCGCUCACCACCCUCCCUACCCCCACACACAUCCAUACUAGAGCAAACGAAAGAGGAGAGAUGGAAAGAUGCGACAAGGACGGGCACAUGUGUGCAACACCUUCUUCCCCUAGCCCUUACCCCUCCCGCCCGUUUCUAUCACGUGUGUGUGUAUCCCACCGUUAUUCGUUUUUUUUUCUCGGUUUCUUUUUUAAUUUGCCGUUGUUUGUUUGUCUCUAUUCGUUGACUCGUCCCACCGCUUCAUUCCUCAGCGCCUUGUCUCGAAACGGAACAACAACAGCAACAAACAAAGAAUAUUGCGCCUCAAGACACCUUCCCACUCUUUUCCUCUCGCUCUCUCCCUCCCUCCUUGUUCUCUCUUGGACUUACCCACGUAUCCGCGAGGGCACCCACACGUGACGACACGCGCGAGUGUGUGCCGCUGUGCCCUUUGGCCCUCUUGUUUUCUCUCUCCUUUUAUUGUCUUUUCACUUGAAUGUUGGAGGUGAAGGCUGUCGCGGAUGGGAAGGGGAGGAGGAGGAGGGGCAGGGCGGCGCCCAGCACAGCGACACGUGCUCCGAGCUCCCAACCCCCCUCCCGGACGUGGAUCUCCCUCUUUAAGUUAUCACUGUCUGCACACUUCCUUUCUUGCUGACAUGCUCUAUGGUUGUUGUGCUUCUUCUGUGUUACGUGUAUGUGUUUCUCCGACGCUCCUGUUCUCAUUUUUUUUUUUUUUACGCUGUUAGUCUACUUCGUUUUUUUUUUGUCUUCGCCUUCUGUACGCUUAAUUUCUCUUGUGCCUGCUCUCUUUGUAUUGUUGUUCACCUCGACUCUCUCUUGUCUCCCCUCCUUCCGUUUUUUGUUUUCUGUCGUUUUUUUUUUGUCGUUGUUGUGUACGUCUUCACGCCUUGUUGUCGUUUUGUUGUGCCUGUUCUCGUCCUGCUCAUGUUCUCUCUUCCACAUGUCGUUCUUUCUCUUUCCUUUUUGUUUCUGUCUCCGAUUGCGUUUGUGUGCGUGCGUGUCUCUCUUUUAUCGCCAUUUCUUCCCCUUGUUGCUCUUUCUCCCCUCUCUUUUUUUUUUACUGUCUCCUUUCAUGUGUGCUCGUCUCUCCUGUUCGCUUUUUUUUUUUGUUUUGCCUCGGUCAGUUUUGGCGCUCACCUCUAGUAUUCAUUUCUUUACUGUUAUUAUUCUUUUUUUCUUUUUUUUUUGUAUUCUUGCUCGUGAAUUUGCUUUCUCUCUUGCGCUGGUCUUUUGAUUUUCUUUAUUGUGCUGUUUCGCUUUUCAGUUUUCUUUUUCUUUCGUUGCUUUAUCGAUUUCGUCCCUCUUUUCUCUUGUCUUCUGGUGCUUAUUUGUGAUGUUGAAGCGCGUAUCAAGUAACACGUAACAUAGCCUCGGCUUUUCCCUUCUCUCUCUUCCCCCCUCUUAUUUCAUGUGUGUGUGUGUGUCUCGCCUUCUUGUCGUUCUUGCUGCUAAGGAAAAAGGAAAGAAACAUAGAGUUUGUUUUUACCCUCUUUUUUUUCCUUUUGCGUGUUUACAUCUUUUGGUUUCGUCUUCGCCCGCGCAUGUGUGUGUGUGUGCGUGCGUGUGGAGGUCUUGACCCUUUCCCCCUCCUCCCCACCCCCACCCCCAUCCUCUUCCUUUUUCACCUCCUUCUUUCCGCACCUCCCUCUCCCUCCUCCCCCGCUAACGACGAAGAAAACGCACAGCCACACACACACGCACACAUGAAGAAGUCCUACGUUCCUCCCUCUUUGUCGGUGUGUCUCCUCUCUCUCUCUUGUGUCUUCUGACUUGCCGCCUCUGCGACUACUUCUCCUUCCUCUUUCUUUCUUUCCCCUCGAUUUUUCGUUUUUUUCUUUUACGUUCUUGCUCCUUUGGGUUCAAGGCUUGCCUGUCUCGUGUGCGUGUGUGUGGCUGUGCGUCGGUGUCGGGCUGUGACCUGUUUUUUUUUUCUGGUUCGUCUUGGUUCCGCAAAGACCAAAAAAACAAAAGAAAGAAACACACAAGAAUGCUGCGCGUCCACUCGAUGUGUGCAUUCCUACCCCCUCCUCCCCCGUCGGUUCGCUAGUCCUUCGCACAGUCUUGUCUCUGUCUGUCUCCUUUUUUUUCUUGUCUCGGCUUCUCCGCUCCUUUCCUUUUCCAG
RNAcentral lists this unclassified non-coding RNA (10936 nucleotides) under Leishmania donovani. RNAcentral describes it as "gene:LdHU3.23.1210(CDS-product:RNA_recognition_mo tif._(a.k.a._RRM_RBD_or_RNP_domain)/RNA_recognition_motif_( a.k.a._RRM_RBD_or_RNP_domain)_putative)". Lineage: Eukaryota; Euglenozoa; Kinetoplastea; Trypanosomatida; Trypanosomatidae. The record is from RNAcentral.